CUGCAACUCGACUGCAUGAAGCCGGAAUCGCUAGUAAUCGCGGAUCAGAAUGCCGCGGUGAAUACGUUCCCGGGUCUUGUACACACCGCCCGUCACACCAUGGGAGUCGGAAAUGCCCGAAGCCGGUGGCCUAACCGAUAAGGGAGGAGCCGUCGAAGGCAGGUCUGAUGACUGGGGUGAAGUCGUAACAAGGUAAC
This 197-nucleotide ribosomal RNA is filed under the name uncultured bacterium. RNAcentral's name for it is "partial 16S ribosomal RNA". It matches the Rfam family "Bacterial small subunit ribosomal RNA", at positions 1305 to 1500 of the family's 1533-position model. The record is from RNAcentral.